Caenorhabditis elegans is the source of this 21-nucleotide non-coding RNA. The record is from Ensembl. Lineage: Eukaryota; Metazoa; Nematoda; Chromadorea; Rhabditida; Rhabditidae.
UAGUGUGAAAAUGAAAAAUAG